Molecule: unclassified non-coding RNA, 238 nt
Filed under: fungal sp.
Lineage: Eukaryota; Fungi
Description: partial internal transcribed spacer region
Rfam family: Eukaryotic small subunit ribosomal RNA (bases 1-46)
Source: RNAcentral
AAGUCGUAACAAGGUUUCCGUAGGUGAACCUGCGGAAGGAUCAUUACUGAGAACGGGUGCUUCGGCGCCCAACCUCCAACCCUUUGUCUACAUACCUCUGUUGCCUCGGCUCGAAGUGUUAUAGCUUUUACGGCUGUAACUGCGAGCCGGUGGCCUUUAACAAACCCUCUUAAACCAUGUCAUAUCUGAGAAUAAAUAUAAUAACUUAAAACUUUUAACAACGGAUCUCUUGGUUCUG